Molecule: ribosomal RNA, 1372 nt
Filed under: uncultured bacterium
Lineage: Bacteria
Description: bacterial SSU rRNA
Rfam family: Bacterial small subunit ribosomal RNA
Source: RNAcentral
GAUGAACGCUGGCGGCGUGCCUAAUACAUGCAAGUCGAGCGAACGGACGAGAAGCUUGCUUCUCUGAUGUUAGCGGCGGGCGGGUGAGUAACACGUGGAUAACCUACCUAUAAGACUGGGAUAACUUCGGGAAACCGGAGCUAAUAACGGAUAAUAUUUUGAGCCGCAUGGUUCAAAAGUGAAAGACGGUCUUGCUGUCACUUAUAGAUGGAUCCGCGCUGCAUUAGCUAGUUGGUAAGGUAACGGCUUACCAAGGCAACGAUGCAUAGCCGACCUGAGAGGGUGAUCGGCCACACUGGAACUGAGACACGGUCCAGACUCCUACGGGAGGCAGCAGUAGGGAAUCUUCCGCAAUGGGCGAAAGCCUGACGGAGCAACGCCGCGUGAGUGAUGAAGGUCUUCGGAUCGUAAAACUCUGUUAUUAGGGAAGAACAUAUGUGUAAGUAACUGUGCACAUCUUGACGGUACCUAAUCAGAAAGCCACGGCUAACUACGUGCCAGCAGCCGCGGUAAUACGUAGGUGGCAAGCGUUAUCCGGAAUUAUUGGGCGUAAAGCGCGCGUAGGCGGUUUUUUAAGUCUGAUGUGAAAGCCCACGGCUCAACCGUGGAGGGUCAUUGGAAACUGGAAAACUUGAGUGCAGAAGAGGAAAGUGGAAUUCCAUGUGUAGCGGUGAAAUGCGCAGAGAUAUGGAGGAACACCAGUGGCGAAGGCGACUUUCUGGUCUGUAACUGACGCUGAUGUGCGAAAGCGUGGGGAUCAAACAGGAUUAGAUACCCUGGUAGUCCACGCCGUAAACGAUGAGUGCUAAGUGUUAGGGGGUUUCCGCCCCUUAGUGCUGCAGCUAACGCAUUAAGCACUCCGCCUGGGGAGUACGACCGCAAGGUUGAAACUCAAAGGAAUUGACGGGGACCCGCACAAGCGGUGGAGCAUGUGGUUUAAUUCGAAGCAACGCGAAGAACCUUACCAAAUCUUGACAUCCUUUGACAACUCUAGAGAUAGAGCCUUCCCCUUCGGGGGACAAAGUGACAGGUGGUGCAUGGUUGUCGUCAGCUCGUGUCGUGAGAUGUUGGGUUAGGUCCCGCAACGAGCGCAACCCUUAAGCUUAGUUGCCAUCAUUAAGUUGGGCACUCUAAGUUGACUGCCGGUGACAAACCGGAGGAAGGUGGGGAUGACGUCAAAUCAUCAUGCCCCUUAUGAUUUGGGCUACACACGUGCUACAAUGGACAAUACAAAGGGCAGCGAAACCGCGAGGUCAAGCAAAUCCCAUAAAGUUGUUCUCAGUUCGGAUUGUAGUCUGCAACUCGACUACAUGAAGCUGGAAUCGCUAGUAAUCGUAGAUCAGCUUGCUACGGUGAAUACGUUCCCGGGUCU